AAGCCUGAUCCAUCCAUGCCGGGUGUGUGAAGAAAGCCUUCGGGUUGGAAAGCACUUUUAUUGGGAAGAAAUAUCACGGUUUAAUACCAAGGGAAGAUUGACGGUACCCCAGGAAAAAGCCCCGGCUAAAUUUGUGCCACCAGCCGCGGUAAUAUGAAGGGGGCAAGCGUUUUUUGGAAUUUUUGGGGGUAAAAGCGUGCGUGGGGGGUUGUUUAAUUUUGUGGGGAAAACCCCGGGUUCAACCUGGGAAAGGCGCUGGAAACAGGCGGAGCUUAGAGUGUGGGGGAGGGGGGUGGAAUUCUCGGUGUAGCGGUGAAAAAUGUGGAGAUAGGGAGGAAACACCAGUGGGGAAGGGGGCCUUCUGGGCCAACACUGACGCUGAGGCACGAAAGAGUGGGGGGCAAACAGGAUUAGAUACCCCGGUAGUCCACCCCCUAAAAGAUGGGAAUUGGAGGGGGGGUCACUAGGUGUUCAGUGUCGAAGCUAACGCGUUAAGU
RNAcentral lists this ribosomal RNA (497 nucleotides) under uncultured bacterium. RNAcentral's name for it is "partial 16S ribosomal RNA". It matches the Rfam family "Bacterial small subunit ribosomal RNA", at positions 379 to 865 of the family's 1533-position model. The record is from RNAcentral.